CCGAAUUGAACAUGAGACAAAGAAGAUGGUUGGAGUUGAUAAAAGACUACAAUUUAGAAGUACACUAUCAUCCCGGCAAGGCCAAUGUUGUAGCUGAUGCUCUCAGUCGGAAACAACAUGUUAGACCUCUCCUAGAGGAAGGCUUCAAUUUAUUGCAUCCUGUGGUCCUGCACAACAUCAUAGUUAGUUGCUCAUUAGAGAGUCAAAUCAUAGAGCUCCAAAAAUCUGAUCCUGGUAUUUUUCAUAUCAAGAGAAAAAUUCAAGAGCAAGACACCAAGCAUUUCAGGGUAGAUGAGAAAGGUGUACUGUGGUUUGACAAUCGACUAGUUGUACCUAAAGAUCGUGACCUACGCAACAAAAUUCUAGAAGAAGCUCAUUUUUCCAAAUUGUCAAUUCAUCCGGGUAGUAGCAAAAUGUACCAAGACUUAAGACCUCAUUUCUGGUGGACCAAAAUGAUGAAAGAAAUAGCAGCCUAUGUCGCAAGGUGUGAUACUUGCUGCAGGGUAAAAGCAGUUCACCUAAAACCUGCAGGUUUAUUGCAACCUUUGUCGAUUCCAGGUUGGAAGUGGGAAGAAAUCAGCAUGAAUUUCAUUGUUGGACUUCCCCUUACUCAAAAAGGGCACAAUUCUAUAUGGGUGGUUGUUGAUCGUUUGACCAAGUCGGCUCAUUUUAUCCCUGUACACUCUACAUACCGACCAUCCGACUAUGCUGAGUUGUACUUCUCUCAGAUAGUUAAAUUGCACGGAGUGCUUCGCACUAUUAUUUCUGAUAGAGGUCCUCAUUUCACUGCUCGCUUUUGGGAGCAUCUGCAUUCACUCCUUGGUACAAAGUUGGUUCGCAGUUCAGCCUAUCAUCCUCAAACCUCCGGUCAGACUGAGCGUGUGAAUCAAAUUCUAGAGGAUAUGUUGAGGGCAUGUGUUAUAUCUUCCAAGGGUGCAUGGGAGAAAUGGCUACCCUUAGCUGAAUUCUCUUACAACAAUAGCUAUCAAGAAAGUAUCCAAAUGGCUCCUUUCGAAGCCUUGUAUGGCCGCAAAUGUAGAACUCCGUUAAACUGGGUCGAACCUGGUGAGAGGAGGUACUACGGAAUUGACUUUGUCAAAGAAGCGGAAGACAUGAGAGCUGCCCAAGCUAGGCAGAAAAGCUAUGCUGACCGAAGAAGAAAGCCAAUUUUGUUUGAAAUAGGUGACUUUGUGUACAUUAAGGUAUCACCCAUGAAAGGAGUGAAUCGCUUCGGCGUUAAAAGGAAGCUUGCCCCUAGGUAUGUGGGUCCCUACCAAAUCAUUGAGAAGAGUGGCAAGGUAGCUUACAAAGUGCAACUACCUCCCGAAAUAAGAGCUAUUUUCCCUGUAUUCCACGUGUCUCAACUCAAGAAGUGUCUUCGUGUGCCCGAAGAGAGAGUUGAAACAAGAGAUAUCAAGUUGCAGUCCGACCUAUCCUAUGAAGAAAAGCCUGUACAAGUUCUUGAUGUCAAAGAACGAGUUACUCGUGGGAGGGUGAUCAAACUUUUUAGAGUUUUGUGGAACCGUCAAAAUGAGAGAGAUGCCACUUGGGAAAGGGAAGAUUAUUUACAAGUAACUUAUCCCUCAUUCUACGAAAAGUGGUACGUCUUUCAAAUCUCGGGACGAGAUUUUUGUAAGGGGGGAGGGCUGCAACACUCCUAGUGUUAGCUUGCAUGUUAACCAUGAGCAUUGCAUCAUCAUAAGCAACAUCAUGAUCACUCAUGAGCAUCACACCACGAUCACAUGCCAUUUGCUACAUGCACUACAUGAUUAAAUUGCUUGUGUGACUUGAAUUGAGUGACUAUAAUGGGUAGCCAAUGCACACAAUUGUACAUUGUCUUCCAAAUUAAUUCAAUCAUGUUUAGAAUACCAUUUGGAACAAAGUUCAUGAUGAAGGUUUUGGCCAAAAAUGCCCCUAAGUCAUGAUUAACCCUAGGAUGGCUUAUUUGACCCCCUAAACCUCCUAUCAAAGAUGUUUUAUGAAAGUAAUGUUAGAGACCUUGCAUGUCUGUGACACCUGAAGCAAAGUUGUAAAGAAUUUCAUAAGCUACAAAAGUUAUGUCGAUGACUUUUUAUGAAAAAGCUUAGAACACAUCCAUUAAUUGCUCACAAGCCAAAAAUCAGGGCUGAUUUCACACUUAGCCAAAUUUGGCUAAGUGUUGAGUCACGCAGUUUCGAGGAAGGGUUGUUUGGAGCUUUGUAGUUUGAAAUCCAGACUGAGUUAGACUUUGAUCUUGUAAUCAAAGUUGUAGAACUAGUGUAGCUCUACCCAGAGGGUCAAAUCUCAGCCAAAACCACCAAUUGAGCUGAGAGUAAAACGUUGACAAAGUUCGAGUUUCAGUCACUGGCCAUGGCAACUGAAUCGCUCGAUUCAGUUUGGACAGAACCGUCCGCCGCCGCGUGUCCGGCCACCUGUUGGCCGUACGUCGACGGCGACCCCGCCUGUCAGCUCCCACGGCGUCCCUAAGUCACCACGCACCGGGUGGACGCCUCAGACGCGCCCUCCACUCGCUCAGCGCAGCACAUUUCGCUCCGCCGUCGCCUCAGGAAGCUCCGCCGCGCUUCGGCGAGCUCCUCCGGUCGUUCCACCGCGUCUCCAGCCAAGCCAGUCCGCCAAGAGCUCCGCCUUGACGUCCUCUACCUCGACGUCCACUCCAUUCCCUUAGCCGAGCACCGGUGAGGUCACAUUGUCAUCUCCGUCGCGAGCUCCACCUCGCCGGAGUUCACAGAGAUCACCGGCAACGUGGCCAGACCUCUCUGGUUCACCUCUGGCCGCGAUUCUUCUUCCUAUAGCUUCGCCUUGAGCCGCUCUUGCUCGUCCGCAACCUCUACCGCGUCGCCAUUGCCUGGAUCCACCGGCGUAACGCCGCGCAGCGCCGCCGCUCCACCAUUCCCGACGGCGAGCACCUUAGGGUCCAGUAGAGCGCGGGUAAAGUAGGUCAACAGAGUCGCCUUGAUGAGAGGAACACGUAGGUGCCCUUAGAUCCGGCCGAGACCUCGUCGUCGAUGAGCUUCGCCGGCGACGAGCAUCUCUCCUGUCUCUGUCUCACUGACGCGCGGGUCCCGGAUGUCAGCCUCUGGGUUUCACCCCCCUGGUCACUGUUGUUGCAGAGCCUGUGCUGUUUUUGAAAAAUUCAUAUCUGGAGUUUUAGAGAUCCAAAUGUGGUGAUUGCAAUUUUGCUAGGUUCCAGCAUAAGUCUAGUUUUUAAUAAAAAUAUGAAACAUGCCCUGUUUUUGCAGAAAUAAAUAGUUAUAAAUUAAUCUUGGAUUUUCAGUGGGUAAUUAUAUCUUGAGAUCUAUUGAUCUGCUGGCCAUGCAAAUUUAGGGAGUUGUUACUUAUGAUAUGAGUAGUCUCUGAUAAAUUUAUCAUGAUUUUUGGAAGCCUGGUUAAGAAGUUAAAAAUAAUUCUUGCUUAAAUAGGAGUUUCUUGUGAUAUUUUUAAUAAAUAGGUUAUAGCUCCUUUUGUGAUGAAACUUGCUGAGUGCUGUACUUAUGUGUAGACAAAGCUAGGAAAAAUCUGAAAUCUGUCGUUUGACACUUUUCGAUAGGGUUUCACAUUUAUGCCUUGCAUGCCUCUACUAGCUUGUUAUUUUUUAUAUCUCACAAUGUUUGUGUGCAAAUGUUCUGAAAAUUUUACAGUGAUCUUAUGUUAGCAUAAGUAGCUUGCUGUAAUUUUCUUAUGAUUUUUGGAACACUUGGAGUAUAUGUUCAUUAAAUCACCUUAAUAAUUAAAUAAAUGGAAAAGGUGAUGAUAGAAAUAGUUUUAGACCUUGCCAUGAUAUUUUCUUGUGUUUCUUAGAUAUGUUCUACCUACUGGUGCAAUUAGAUUGUUCCUUUGAUACAUCCUCAACAUGUGCAAAAUAUUAUUUUUGGCUAUUUAUGCCUUUCCUAGAGCAUUUCUGUGUAGCUGAUAGCAAAUGCUUGAGAACUAAUUAAAGAUGUUAAUUUCUGGGAAACUUGUCUACAACAAACUUGUAGCUAACUUAUUGAUGUACUUCGUGUCCAAAUUUCAUGGCAUUUUGUUGAGUAGUUUGAAAGUUAUGCAUGUUCCAAGUAGCUGCUGCAAAGUGCUUGCUCUCUGGAUUUUCCAGAGCAGCCAGCCAACUUUGUAGGUUUUGGCAUACUUAAGUUGGGAAUUAGUCUGGGAUGUCUAAAAGUGAACUGUAGACAAUUUGCUAAGCUUUCCAGAAAGUGCUUACUUGCUUCAUUUGGUUAAAUUAUGCUUAAGUUAUGGCUGAAACUUGUGACCGGUUGGGUGGUCUACUAAACCAGUGACUGGGUAAGAGUAGCUAGGACUUGUUUAACUUGUCUAUUUAGUCUCUCUACCAAAGAAGAAGUAUGCAUUACUUGUUAUACCUUGUUUAUGUCCCUUUGGCUCUUCAUCAUGGCAUCAUGCUUCAUAUGUGCAUUCUCUAUAUUCAUCUCCUUGUCAUGCAUCCAUAGGUGUACCCAAAGGUGUGACGGUGCUGGAGUUCGAGUUGCCGGAGCCGGAAGGACAGCAAGGGGAGCUACCUCAAGGAGCUGAGGAGGAGGAGGACUUGCCGGAGUGCCCUGACCAUCGUCCCUCUACCUACGUCGAAGGCAAGCCCCAGAGCAUUAUAAGCCUCCUACUAUUUUAUUAUCAUGUUCAGCUAUCAAACGACUAUGGUUAUAUAUUGUUGCAUUAAGUGGUAGGCGUUGAUAUGACACCCUUGCUGCAUAAUGACUACCUUGUUCACCUUAAACAUUAUCAAAGUAGGUCCAGGAUCGAAGUAAUGCUUAGCCAUGCUUAGCUCGGUAGAAGCCGGGUGAUUUUCUGUCACCUGCGAGAGUUAGGUGGAUGAUGAUCACGGUUGGCUAUAUUUGCUAUCGUGGAGAUAACCAGGUGCUAAAAAUGAACUUGAGACCGGGCGGGAUGACGAUAGUGCAACAACAAGGCAUGGAGGUCUUGGGUGCGAAUCUAUCCCCGUCUGUGUCGUUUAAGGACCGAAUCGCUGUACGUCCCCGUGUCAUGUUGAACGCAUGCCUAUCACUUAGUUGGCCGGAUAAGUCAUUCCGACCGCGAAGCCUACGAGUGCAACUCAGGCCGGAUACCCCGUUCUGUAUGAGUGCGCACCCCGGUUGGUAGCAAGUAUGUGCGGGGAGUCAAUGGCAUAAGACCGAGGUGUCAAGUUAGAGUCCUGACCCUGGCAGAUUGGCGGUCCCUAGGGGUGCGGCGCUGGGCGGACCCGCGAAUUGGUCCGGAGUUGUGCUAAAGGUGAUCCGAGCUGCCGUCAUGAAGUAUGCUUGGGUGAGUGUAAGGAAUACCCCUCCAGCUGGAUAGGAAUCGAUUCGAAUCGCCGUCUCUCCCGGAUAGUGAGAACUUGACUUGGGCAGCGGCAACGUAGAAUUCACUAAGCAAACAUAAUGGUUAUGAUGAGAAUGUUGAUAGCAAAGUGAUAAUCUGGAUAUGGUUAUUAAUGUAAUGCUUAAAAACUCAAGUGUAUGCUUAGAACAGGUGCUAAUCUAGUGGAUAGUUGCUAAGUAAUGAACCUGCUGCUGAAAUAUGAUAAAUAAAUUACUUACCACAAAGGCUUUUAUGCAAAAAGGUGAGUCAAACCAGUCCACAAAGAUCAGCCUUGCAUACUCCUUGGUGUCACUUUAUUUCUGGUUUGUGACGGGUAAGUCUAGCUGAGUACAUUCUCGUACUCAGGGUUUUAUUUACCCCUGUUGCAGAUGAUAUCGUCUAUCACGGCUAUUGCGUUAACUGUCAUCACCUAGCUGCGGAUGAUGAAUAGAUCAUGGGCGUGAUCACUCUUCUACCUUCAGUUAUGCUUUUGUUGGGACUUGACUAUGGAACUGGCUUGUAUUAUAAACCGAGUUGGAGUUGUUUCAAAACUACUUUGUUUCCACUAUUGCUAUGGGUUGUAAUAACCUCUUUUAAACUCUGAUGUGAUGUAAAACUAUGUUCUAUGUUGAAUGUUGUAAUCUGCGAUGGUGAUGCUUGAUCAUGUACGAUCUUGGUUGUAUGUUGGUUGAAUCGAGGUCUUUUGAGAUUUCAUCGGACUACCGGGUUUAUAUGGGUUCAAGUCCAUUGGCUUGACUGCCUCAGUGGUCGCUAAUUCACUUGAAUUCUUAUAAAUUGGACGGUUCUGCUGUUACACAUAAGUUCCAUAAGGGCAUGUAAAGGUAGUCUUUUCUCAGUCAUCUGGGUGGAUUGGGAUUUGGUGAUAUCCAGAAUAACCAUCAUGGAAACAGAAGAAAGAGUGGUUUGCAAGCUGUUCCAACAUUUCAUCAAUGAAGGGUAACGGAAAGUGAUCUUUCUUUGUAGCCUUGUUGAGUAUUCGAUAGUCAAUACACAUAUGCCACCCAGUGACAAUUCAUUGAGGGAUGAGUUCAUUCUUCUCAUUCCUAACGACUGUCAUUCCUCCUUUCUUUGGCACUACUUGGACAGGGCUAACCCACUCACAAUGUGGCACAGGAUAAAUAAUCCCAGCAUGAUAGAGUUUGAGGACCUCUUUCUUAGAAACCUCUCGCAUAGCAUUGUUAAGUCUCCGUUGUGGUUCCCUUGAAGGUGUAAAAUUGGGAUCAAUAGGGAUACGAUGAGUGCAAAGAAUGAGACUAAUGCCCGUGAGAUCUUCGAGAGAGUAGCCAAAUGUUGAUCUAUGUCUUUCAAGAACAGUGACAAGUUGUUGUGUUUCAUAAUCGGAAAGCUUGUCACUGAUAAUUACUGGAGUUUUUGGGUUAUUGUGCAAAAAGACAUAUCUAAGGCCAGAAGGAAGAGGUUUCAACUCUAUCGAAGGAGGUGAAGGUUGUUCAUUUUUGUCUAGCUCAACGGGUUCUACCAACUCUUCUUCUUCUUGAACAAAGUGUUCAUGAUUAAAGAAUGGUUGGGCCAUCUCCUCUUGAGUCAGCAUUAAGAUCUCCUCAAUAGGAUCUGGUUCAAGUUUGGGUUCCCCUAUCGUGUUAAUUGAUCUAGCAAGAGGAACAACAAUAGUGGAAUUCCCAACCUUGAAGUCUAAAUGACCUCGUUGUGGUUGUUCUUGUAGAAGUUUCAUGAUUGGUCUGCCAAUCAAUAGAGGAAUCUCCGGUAUGUUAAAAAUGUGAAAAUCUAGACAUAUUCUAGAGUCCUUGAUUCUAACAGGAACUGCCCUUAAUACCCCAUGGCUUUCUAGAAUUAAUCCAGAUGGACUUUGUAAAAGGUUUUGAGAUGGGGUUAUGGACUCAUUGGGAUAAAGAGUGUUAGCUAACUCCUUGGAAAUAACAUUUAUCCCAACAUAUGGAUUGUAGUGGACCUUCCUAGCGGACCCUCUAAUUUGGCACAGAAGAAUGGUUGAAGGAGUGAUGAUCCGAGCUACCUCAAGAGACAGCUUUGCUUCUGUUAGCCAUUCAUAACUCAGAAUAGCCGAAAGGCUUUUGAUGUGUUCUAUGUCAACAGAUUCUACUCUUAGAACGGAUUGAGUGGUCCCUGCUAGAGGUCGUGUUUGGAUAGAAAAAUUCGAGGUGUUUUCGUAGUCUUCAAAAAGAUCUUCCUCGAAUUCAAAGGGAUGCUCUAAAGGUGGUGGUUCGUCAUCCCUUAGUUGGUUUUGCAUUCCCUUAUUAGGAGGUUUCUCUACAACCAAAAUUAAUAGAUGGGUCAGGUGGAAUUUCUAACUCGGUUGCAAGUUCCUCAUCUUUUGGUUUAGGAUCAGGCUCGACUUCUUUUUCUUCUUCAGGAAACUCAUCAUAAAUGCCUGUGUAAGGGGUAUUUUCAAGGAUUCUCUCUAGGAUAGCUCUCCCCUCAUCUAUGAGUUUGUGUGCGAAUGAGCCUCCUGAAGCAAUAUCGAUGUGAAGAGCAGCUUCCUUGUUUAGACCACGAUAAAAGUGGUAGUACAGUACAUGGUCAGGCAGGGAAAGGUUUGGACCGGAAUUGGUAAGGCUUGUGAACUUAGCCCAAGCUGCUCCUAAAGUUUACUUCUCUCUUUGUUUGAAUGUAAGAAUUUUGAUUCUAAGGUCAGCGAUUCGAAAAAGUGGGAAGAAAGCGAGACAAAUGUUGUCCCGAAGUUCAUCCCAAUUUCCAUUAACGCCUCCUACAGAAUGAGCAUACCACUUUUUUGCUCUUCCCAAAAGGGAGAACUGAAAUAAUUUCCAUUUAAGGGUUUCUUGUGUCAUGCCGGAAAUAGAUCGGCAAGAGCACAACUGCUCGAAUUCUCUAAGGUGGGUGUAUGGAUCUUCAUCUACUUUCCCGGAGAAGGGUUGCUCCUGAAUCAUGGUUAUUAGAUAAGGGCCGAGGUCGUAGCCAUCUGUAAGAAUUGGAUGUGAUGAUGGUGGUGGCUCUAAUAACUCACCCUUUGGAGCAAAGAAUUUAUAGAUAGGAGUGAAAUCUAUGUGGUAUGGUGAAAAUGGUAAGGUGAGUGUGGUAAAAAAAGGAAAAGAAAAAGGAUACACGGACAACUUGGUUCGAAACUAGCACAGCUACCGUUCCCCAGCAACGGCGCCAGAAAGCUUCUUGGGUAUUUUAAACGCAAAUAGAAAAAUCCGCAAGCGCACGGAUACCGAUGUAGCUUUCACCCGGGAGUAUUCCAGAGUAUCGAUUUUCCACAGGGAACGUGAGUGUACUAAUUAAGAUUCAAGAUCGCCCAAGGAUAACUAUAUACUUAUUUUUGGUGGGAAGAGAGGAAGUUUCCUGAGAGUUCUCUAGUUGAUCUAAGAAUCAAGAAUUACUUCAAAGAUUAUUUAUUUCGGGACAUCAGAACACUAACCACAGAAAGAGAUGAGAAGGGGCCUAGGAAGUUCUGACUACUACGGUCCUACAAACACCGAUCCGAAUGAGGUGGAAUACGUCGACCGUUAGGGCUGUCACUACCCUAGGGUUACCACAACAAUCCGCAGGAUUGGGUGCAAUUCCAGGUAAUUGCAAGACUAAACACCACGUCUAAUCUAUUAAUUACUACUCUAGCGUUGCAAAGACUAGAGCACUUGAUGCAAGCGGGAAUCCAAUAAAUAACUUGAGUAUAAAUAAAAGUAAUUAAAGAACUCAGAAAUUAUGAAUUUAAGAACUUGAAGAACGAUGAAGAACGAACCAGUUGCUGCAAAAGUACAAUGUUGAGGAAGAUCCGACAGAUCCGGAUCCUCCUCCGCUCUCCUCUUCUCUCUCCCUAUUUUCUAGAUUACAACUAGAACUAACUAGAACUAGAACUAGAUGAACUAGAACUAGAACUAGAUGAACUAGAGGGAUCCUCUCUACUUGGAUCAAUAAUUGAAACCCUAGCUUUGAU
Molecule: long non-coding RNA, 9214 nt
Filed under: Sorghum bicolor (sorghum)
Lineage: Eukaryota; Viridiplantae; Streptophyta; Magnoliopsida; Poales; Poaceae
Description: long non-coding RNA (SBIC_LNC016136)
Source: RNAcentral